UACGUAGGGUCCAAGCGUUAUCCGGAAUUACUGGGCGUAAAGAGUUGCGUAGGGGGCAUAGUAAGUGAAUAGGGAAAGCGUGUGGCUCAACCCUACAUCCAUUAUUUAAACUGCUAAGCUAGAAGACGAGAGAGGUAGAUGGAAUUCCUGAUGUAGGGGUAAUAUCCGUAGAUAUUAGGAGGAACACCGAUGGCGUAAGCAGUCUACUGGCUCGUUCUUGACACUAAGGCACGAAAGCGUGGGGAGCAAACAGG
RNAcentral lists this ribosomal RNA (254 nucleotides) under uncultured bacterium. RNAcentral's name for it is "partial 16S ribosomal RNA". It matches the Rfam family "Bacterial small subunit ribosomal RNA", at positions 524 to 776 of the family's 1533-position model. The record is from RNAcentral.